Molecule: small RNA, 61 nt
Filed under: Olea europaea subsp. europaea
Lineage: Eukaryota; Viridiplantae; Streptophyta; Magnoliopsida; Lamiales; Oleaceae
Source: RNAcentral
UGCAACGUUUUAGAAACGCUGCAAAAGACGAAGCCUUUUGCAACGUUUUUAGAACGUUGCA